GCUUAUUAUUUUCAUAAACGAUUUUCUAAAAUCCUUUACGAAAUUUUUAAUAAAAAUCACAUCCCAGUUAUUUUUUUAACACUUAUCUUUUGAUAAGUGCUUUUUUUGUUUUAAAGCCUCCA
This is a non-coding RNA of Staphylococcus aureus, 122 nucleotides long. The record is from Rfam. NCBI's taxonomy places the organism in Bacteria, Bacillati, Bacillota, Bacilli, Caryophanales, Staphylococcaceae.